CCGAGUUUACAACUCCCAAACCCCUGUGAACAUACCACUUGUUGCCUCGGCGGAUCAGCCCGCUCCCGGUAAAACGGGACGGCCCGCCAGAGGACCCCUAAACUCUGUUUCUAUAUGUAACCUUCUGAGUAAAACCAUAAAUAAAUCA
This 148-nucleotide unclassified non-coding RNA is filed under the name soil metagenome. RNAcentral describes it as "partial internal transcribed spacer 1". The record is from RNAcentral.